This 253-nucleotide ribosomal RNA is filed under the name uncultured prokaryote. RNAcentral describes it as "partial 16S ribosomal RNA". It matches the Rfam family "Bacterial small subunit ribosomal RNA", at positions 525 to 777 of the family's 1533-position model. The record is from RNAcentral.
ACGAAGGGGGCUAGCGUUGUUCGGAUUUACUGGGCGUAAAGCGCGUGUAGGCGGACUUGUAAGUUGGGGGUGAAAUCCCGAGGCUCAACCUCGGAACUGCCUCCAAAACUACAAGUCUGGAGCAAGAUAGAGGCAAGUGGAAUUGCGAGUGUAGAGGUGAAAUUCGUAGAUAUUCGCAGGAACACCAGUGGCGAAGGCGACUUGCUGGAUCUUUGCUGACGCUGAGACGCGAAAGCGUGGGGAGCAAACAGGA